CGCGCUGUCGGAUUAUUGGGCGUAAAGCGAGCGCAGGCGGUUCUUAAGUCUGAUGUGAAAGCCCCCGGCUCAACCGGGGAGGGUCAUUGGAAACUGGGAGACUUGAGUGCAGAAGAGGAGAGUGGAAUUCCAUGUGUAGCGGUGAAAUGCGUAGAUAUAUGGAGGAACACCAGUGGCGAAGGCGGCUCUCUGGUCUGUAACUGACGCUGAGGCUCGAAAGCGUGGGGGAGCAAACAGGAUUAGAUACCCUGGUAGUCCACGCCGUAAACGAUGAGUGCUAAGUGUUGGAGGGUUUCCGCCCUUCAGUGCUGCAGCUAACGCAUUAAGCACUCCGCCUGGGGAGUACGACCGCAAGGUUGAAACUCAAAGGAAUUGACGGGGGCCCGCACAAGCGGUGGAACAUGUGGUUUAAUUCGAAGCACGGGAAGGAACCUUACCAGGUCUUGACAUCCUUUGACACUCAGAGAUAGAACUUCCCCUUCGGGGCAAAGUGACAGGUGGUGCAUGGUUGUCGUCAGCUCGUGUGGGAGAUGUUGGGUUAGUCCCGCAACGGGCCAACCCUUAUUUGUUAGUUGCAUCAUUCAGGUGGGACUCUAGCAAGACUGGCGGGGAAAACCGAAGAAGUGGGGAUGACGUCAAAUCAUCUUCCCCUUAUGACCUGGGCUCACACGUGCUAAAUGGGAGUACAACGGGUGCGAAGUCCGAGAUAACUAUCUCUAAGCUUCUCUCAGUCGGAUGAGGCUGCACUCGCUGAUGAAGCCGGAUCGCUAGUAUCACGAUCACACGCGGUGAUCGUUCCGGUUAUA
Molecule: ribosomal RNA, 806 nt
Filed under: Enterococcus faecium
Lineage: Bacteria; Bacillati; Bacillota; Bacilli; Lactobacillales; Enterococcaceae
Description: bacterial SSU rRNA
Rfam family: Bacterial small subunit ribosomal RNA
Source: RNAcentral